GUUGAACUUUUAUGAAUUUUUCAGAAUCACUACUGAAACAUGAUAAAAGUUUAAUAGGACUAAAAAUACUUGCAGCUCACAGGAGGACCUAGGAGUUACAGAAUGUCAUCCAAAACCUCCAAGGAAAUGGUGGGUUGGUAGGAAGGUUUGCCUUUUUAGGAAAAUAAUGCGGACAUCAUGUAAGAAGUGAGUGGAAUUUUGGUUGUUUGGUUGGAAGAUGGGUAGGUGUGAUGGUUGGUAGGUAGGUAAGUUGGUUGGUUGGUUGGUAUGUAGGUAAGUUGGUUGGUUGGUAGGUUGUUUGGAUGGUAGGUAGGUAAGUUGGAUGGCAUGGUAGGUUGGAUGGUUGUGGUUGGUAGGUAGGUAAGUUGGGUGGUAGGAAGGUAGGUAGGUAGUUUGGUUGGUUGAAUGGACAGUUGGUUGGUUGCUAGGAAAGUAGGUAGGUAGGUAAGUUGGUAGGUUGUUUGGAUGGUAGGUUGGUUGGUUGGUUGGUAGGAAAGUUGGUUGGUUGGUUGGUAGGAAGGUAAAUUGGUUGGUUGGAAGGUAUGUACUUCUAUUCUGAUUUAUCCUUUCCUUGCAUAACCGAGGAAUCGUACAUCUUUUAUGAAGCAUGUCAGGAAAAAGCUUUGCAGUUACAUUUUUACAUGACACAUCCCACACACAUCCCACACACACACACACUUUCUGUAUUUCCUACAGGGCAUAUGAAGACACAGACACACUGAAACAGAUUCACAAAGUAAAACCUGAUUAAAGGCAUAACGCAGAAUAAUUGAUGACCUGAGCUCAAAAAAGCAAAGCAGUCCAGAAGGUUCAGUAUGUUCAAUACGGAUUACAGAUUAUAAUCCUCAAAUA
Long non-coding RNA from Ictalurus punctatus (channel catfish), 852 nucleotides. The record is from Ensembl. NCBI's taxonomy places the organism in Eukaryota, Metazoa, Chordata, Actinopteri, Siluriformes, Ictaluridae.